UACGGAGGGAGCGAGCGUUGUCCGAAGUUACUGGGCGUAAAGCGCGCGCAGGCGGUCGUUCAAGUCGCGUGUGAAAGCCCCCGGCUCAACUGGGGAGGGUCACGCGAUACUGAUCGACUCGAAGGCAGGAGAGGGUAGUGGAAUUCCCGGUGUAGUGGUGAAAUGCGUAGAUAUCGGGAGGAACACCAGUGGCGAAGGCGACUACCUGGCCUGUUCUUGACGCUGAGGCGCGAAAGCUAGGGGAGCAAACGGG
This 253-nucleotide ribosomal RNA is filed under the name uncultured bacterium. Its description in RNAcentral is "partial 16S ribosomal RNA". It matches the Rfam family "Bacterial small subunit ribosomal RNA", at positions 524 to 776 of the family's 1533-position model. The record is from RNAcentral.